This 497-nucleotide ribosomal RNA is filed under the name uncultured bacterium. RNAcentral's name for it is "partial 16S ribosomal RNA". It matches the Rfam family "Bacterial small subunit ribosomal RNA", at positions 28 to 507 of the family's 1533-position model. The record is from RNAcentral.
GAUGAACGCUGGCGGCGUGCCUAAUACAUGCAAGUCGAGCGAACGGACGAGAAGCUUGCUUUUCUGAUGUUAGCGGCGGACGGGUGAGUAACACGUGGAUAACCUACCUAUAAGACUGGGAUAACUUCGGGAAACCGGAGCUAAUACCGGAUAAUAUUUUGAACUGCAUGGUUCAAAAGUGAAAGACGGUCUUGCUGUCACUUAUAGAUGGAUCCGCGCUGCAUUAGCUAGUUGGUAAGGUAACGGCUUACCAAGGCAACGAUGCAUAGCCGACCUGAGAGGGUGAUCGGCCACACUGGAACUGAGACACGGUCCAGACUCCUACGGGAGGACGCAGUAGGGAAUCUUCCGCAAUGGGCGAAAGCCUGACGGAGCAACGCCGCGUGAGUGAUGAAGGUCUUCGGAUCGUAAAACUCUGUUAUUAGGGAAGAACAUAUGUGUAAGUAACUGUGCACAUCUUGACGGUACCUAAUCAGAAAGCCACGGCUAACUACGUG